GCGCCUGUAGCUCAACUGGAUAGAGCGCUUGGCUACGGACCAUGAGGUUCUGGGUUCGACUCCUAGCAGGCGCACCA
This 77-nucleotide transfer RNA is filed under the name Pelagibacterales bacterium SAG-MED39. RNAcentral describes it as "tRNA-Arg". It matches the Rfam family "tRNA". From Rfam's summary of the family: Transfer RNA (tRNA) molecules are approximately 80 nucleotides in length. Their secondary structure includes four short double-helical elements and three loops (D, anti-codon, and T loops). Further hydrogen bonds mediate the characteristic L-shaped molecular structure. tRNAs have two regions of fundamental functional importance: the anti-codon, which is responsible for specific mRNA codon recognition, and the 3' end, to which the tRNAs corresponding amino acid is attached (by aminoacyl-tRNA synthetases). tRNAs cope with the degeneracy of the genetic code in two manners: having more than one tRNA (with a specific anti-codon) for a particular amino acid; and 'wobble' base-pairing, i.e. permitting non-standard base-pairing at the 3rd anti-codon position. Lineage: Bacteria; Pseudomonadati; Pseudomonadota; Alphaproteobacteria; Candidatus Pelagibacterales. The record is from RNAcentral.